This is a long non-coding RNA of Heterocephalus glaber (naked mole-rat), 1548 nucleotides long. RefSeq lists it as uncharacterized. The record is from RefSeq and is a predicted model, not a curated record. NCBI's taxonomy places the organism in Eukaryota, Metazoa, Chordata, Mammalia, Rodentia, Bathyergidae.
CAGAGUACUGGAUUCUGGGUCCAGGAGUUCCUCAGUGUCACGCUGCCACAGGAGCAUCUCCAAGGAGUCAAUGGACCCAGCCGAGAAAGGGCAGCGCCACUCCGUGAGACACAGCGGGAAGGGGUUGCAGUCAGGCCCUCCUGGCCGGGGCCGCCUCAGAGUCAGACCCCGGCCAGGCCCAGCCCUGUGGGAUAGCUGGCCUGGUGGAUGGUGCUGGAGAUGAUGCUGAAGAUGGUGCGGAUGGUGAUGCUGGCCUUCCCUGGUGGAGAGAACACAGCCGGAGCCUUUCAGGGACGGGACCAGAGCCACCUGUGGUCCACACAGGGUGACAGAGGGAAGGGGCUCCUCUCACCAGAACCAUGGAUUUGGAUGUCUCGUCUGUCAGGGUUGGCACUGGGGGCGGACCCAUAGGAACGGCACGGUAGGACCAGGUGGCAUCAGGGCCGGGGUCUCCAUCUGUCUCCCAACCCCCACCAGCAGCAAAAGCCCUGGCCACCUCUUUUCCGUGGACUUCGUCCUCAAGUCAGCACACUCCUGCUGUGGCCAGAUGAGAGGCACGGAGUCGCCCACGGCCCGGGACUUGAACCUGCGCUGGAGGGGGAGUGGGCAGUAGGAGCAGUCAGGGAGGUGCAGCCUGGUGCUCACCCCAGCCCCACCCUGGCCACCCGCCCACCUCACCUUGGCCUUCCUCGGCUUCUGUACAGUGGGGCUCUUACGAGGAAAGGUGGGCUCCUCCGUGGUAGCUAACAGAGGGGAGAGAGGAGGGACAGGGACUGCAGGAGGAGGACAUGCGGGCUACCUCACAGGACAGGGAGGGAACCCCAGUGUUGGAGCUCUGCCCACGCCCUAAGGGGGGGCCCUGCCCCAGGAGGGCCUGAUGGGGCAAACCCGCUCACCUGUCUGGCUGCCGUGGGCCAGGUCCUGUGGACAGGCAGGGGCAGUCAGGAGGGCCAUCCCCAUCACCGACAGGAGCAGGCGUCACCCAGCCUUCCUCCUUCAGGCUCAGGGGUCCAGGACCUCUGCCCCUUUCCUGAGGCCAUGUCCUUGGCCUGAGUCCCAGUUCCCUAUGGCUUCCUAGCCCUGCUGCCCCAAGGUCUUUGUGCUAGGGUCCCACCUGCAGGCGCCAGGUGGAGGGAGGCACGUCGGCCAGGGGCGCAUCAUGGCCAGACCGGUGCAGGGGCCAAGAGGCCCAGGCGGUUGCCAGCUCCUGGAGCAGCUGCGUGACCUUGAGCAACAAAAACACGACCCGUUUCCCUUGUCUGUAAAAUGGACAUAUUUGAGGCCCCAAGGAAAUCCUACAGUGUCUCGAAGACUUGUGACAAUCCUCCCGCCUCAGCCUCCUGAAUGCUGGAAUUGCAGCCCUCAGACAGCCAUUAUCACCAUGUUGGUGUAUUUCCCUCUGGGACUUAAAAAUCUGUACACAUAGAGAAGCCCCAAAUCGGGAUGACGAGGCAGCUGUGCAGCCUGCUGUCUGCCGCGCCCGCCUGGACAGUGCGCCAUGGCUGUCCUCUAGCGAGGAGGAACUUCGUUAUGGAGCUGUCCCCACCG